This 645-nucleotide unclassified non-coding RNA is filed under the name Hevea brasiliensis (rubber tree). Lineage: Eukaryota; Viridiplantae; Streptophyta; Magnoliopsida; Malpighiales; Euphorbiaceae. The record is from RNAcentral.
AAACAAGAGAGGAGAAGCAGGAGCAGGAAAAGGGAGUGGGAGAGAUGAGUGGUGGAGGGAGUGAGGAGGGAGAGUCGUUAGAGUUCACACCCACAUGGGUUGUUGCUGCUGUGUGCACUGUGAUUGUUGCCAUUUCUCUUGCUGCAGAGAGAUUUCUCCAUUAUGGUGGCAAAUAUCUUAAGAGCAAGAACCAGAAACCCCUGUAUGAAGCUCUCCAAAAAAAUUAAAGAAGAGUUGAUGCUUCUGGGUUUCAUAUCAUUGUUAUUGACAGUAUCUCAGGGCACAAUCUCUAAAUUCUGUGUACAUGAGCAUGUGCUUACUAAUAUGCUUCCUUGUGAUCUCUCUGAGAAAGGAGAAGAAGGACAAGGAUCUAAUACUACAGCUACAACCGAACAUUUUCAGAGGUUCUUUACAACUAGCAUUUCUGGCACUAACAGGCGCCUUCUGGCUGAAUCAACAGAAUCCCAGAUUGGUUACUGUGAGAAGAAGGGUAAGGUGCCACUGUUAUCCAUAGAAGCUUUACAUCAUCUACAUAUCUUUAUCUUCGUCCUAGCCAUUGUCCAUGUCACUUUCAGUGUGCUCACUAUUCUUUUUGGAGGGGCAAGGAUUCGUCAAUGGCAACACUGGGAGAAUUCAAUUGCAAAA